Taeniopygia guttata (zebra finch) is the source of this 4534-nucleotide non-coding RNA. Lineage: Eukaryota; Metazoa; Chordata; Aves; Passeriformes; Estrildidae. The record is from RefSeq and is a predicted model, not a curated record.
AGCAGGUAAGAACAGCUCACCUCUCAAAACCAAAGAUGAAUAAAAUACAAGUGAGCUUUGACAAUUCAAGUAUAUUUUUAACUGGAUUUUCAGAGAACCCUUGAAACCCCCAUAUGUAAUAUGAAAUGUAAUUACUGCAGUAGUUAAACUGACCUGAAUGGACUUUAGUUUUUUACUUACGGAUCUCUGGUUGAUUUUUUUCCCCCCUGUGUGGUGUGGAAUCCAGUGGUGACACUACAUAGUCUCAUGUUGCUUUCAUCACUUUUUUCAGAGUCCCAGAGAGGUAGCACAUAGGACCCAUGGUUGAAAAUCCUGAAUACAAAGUUCUCUGAGUAAGAAAUUAGGAAUGGAUGAAACUGUGUUUAGUUGAAUUGAAACUCAGCCUUGAAAUUUCUUUUUUGGUUUCUUAAGUUUAAGUUUUGCUUUUUAUAUGUAUAAUUUGAUUGACAUAUUAUUCUUGUCUUCAUAUUGUCCCUUUUUUGUUAAUGAAUUGAACUUUUGCUCUAUUCUGAAUAUUUUCUAGUCAUUGUGACGAAGUACUCUCCCCUGAGUGGGCUCAGAUACCUUACUGCAGUUUCCUGUUGUAGUCUCAAACUUAAGAAUCUGUAGAAGUUUAUGUAGGAAAUACUCAUUUCAUUGUCACUUCUGUGUCUUUGAAAACACAUACAAAAAUGUAUUGUGGAAGGAUAAUAGACAUGAGGGAACUGCUUUUCCUAUAAAUCUCUUCAUGGUAUUAUUGGACAGUUAUUUUGUCCCUGUGAGUAAUUUGAAUCCCGUCCCUUGAAAACCACAGAUAGAUUUCUUGGUAACAACGGAGAGAGAUUUUUCACUUCCAUCAUGUCCCAGUACAUUCCUUCACAGUUAAGAAAAUUGUUCCUGGUUUUGGGCUGAUCUUCAGAAAUGCUAACUGAAACCUGUGGAUAAAACUUCCUCUAAGCCAUCUAAAGAGAGUUGAAAACUGAACGUGUUAGGCUAAGAGUAGAGGCCUAAGUGACCUUGUCAUCCUAAAAAUUUUAUUGAUUCUAAUUCUUUUCUAGGCUCUGAAGCUUAAAAGCAAAAUAAGCACAGGUAUUUACAAAUGUUAAAGGUGCUGACUAAAAGCAUAAGAGGUAUUAAAAUCCUGAAUGUAUGCUUAGACAGAAGGUAAUUUUUUUUUAAUCUGUGGGAAAACCCAUGGACAGGAGCAGUAUCUUGGUGGGCGAUUUUUCUUAUUCUGUGAAAACUAUUAUUCCUUCUUGCAUAUAUAUCAUUAAGAUUUGUAGCUGCUAAAUAUCUUUUACCUAUUCUAAUAACUUAAAAUUGUCUGCUAAUCCUUGCUCUCAGAUUCCUAACUGAUCAAAAUUAAUGCACCCAGUAAGGCAAGACUGACUGAAAACAUUAAAAAAGCCGGGGUGGGGGGGAAGGACAAAAAAAGAAAAAAAGGGAAGCAUUUUGAAACUCCUGUAAACAAAAGAAAAAUGUUGCAACCUUUUGUUUUGAAAUAUAUAUUCAGAAUUAAACACUGAGAAUAAUGUGUGAUAAAUGUCACGGGUAUUUUUGAGCACAGUGAAAUAGCAAAUGCAAUUUGAAAAGACAGAGCAGAGAAUAGAAAAUAUUUUCUGCAUGAUUCACAGAUCAGUUCCUGCUAAAGUAAUAAAUUCAUUGAUUAGCACCUGCUUAUUAUAUUUCAAGUAGACUAGAGGGACUUAAAAUACCACAGUCAUUACCAGAAAUCUGGAAGAAUAGAUUUAAACAAGGUUAAAAGAUAAAAGAAACCCUGUAAACAGGGCUAGAACAGAACAGAGUGGUGGAUGAAUGAAUAGGUGGGGGAGGCCUUAGCAUGAAAUUAAAAUAAAUCAUGAUGUAAUGUCCUUGGGGCCAGAGUUGUGCAAGCCAUUUUUUUAAAUUCUGUAGAACUAGAUUGUAGAAAAAAGCAGUACAAAUGAAAACAUCAGCAAACAAUAUUUCUAGUGAAUAGCUGGGAUACAGAUGAUUUUUCAGUUUAGCCAACAUUACCAGAUAUGUCACAGUCUUCUAUAUCUGAAAACUUGAAUUUUGAUAUUGCUAUGAUGCUAUUUAACAGUAUGUCAAUAGUGUGAUGGAAAAUAAAAUCUUCAAAUUAAUAUUUCAAAAUCAACAUUAAAAUGCACAUUUAAUUUUUCUGCUCUUUGAAUACAGAAGAUCAUUAAAUAAAAACCAAUACGUCUACAUUUUCAGACAGGCGAAACAUUGUGUGUCAGUGGUAAAUACAUAGCCCAGAUGGUAUUUGUCAUCCAGAAAACUGUAAUUCUCCAUUCUGCACGAGCAAUUCUUGUUUCUUAAUUUAUGGGAGAGCUGAAGGUCUUGUAACUUCCAUACAAGGAGAACUUGCAUAAGAAGACUACAGGAUUUGUUGCUAAGGGGCAUUGUAAGCUAUAGAAUGUAGAAUGUUUAAGACAAAAGCACAAGAGCAGAGGUUAGCAUGAGGAGUACUGGUGUUUUCAGUUGAGCUAACCCAAUCUUUAUUUACUUAUGAUAAAUCUGUUAGAAAAUUCCUCAAGCAAUACAGUAUCAAACUGAGGAUCCAUGAUUGCCAACUUUGUGAGUGUGGACAGUCAUAAACCAGUUCUUGACCCAGUGGAUUUUCCAGAUGAAGUAGGUUGAUUUAGCUACUUUGCAUCUGAUCAUUCUCGGAUACUGAAAGCAUUUAACUAAUCCUUUAGUUUAAUUUUACUCUUUUAUAAGAUUAGAGAAACCUAUUUCCUCCUUGAAGCAGUAUGAGCAAUAACUAGAGCAGUUUUGGGAAUAUGGGAAGAAAGUACCUCUGCCUUUAUUCUAGUAGUUGGAAGACUUUGGGGACUGUUUUGGUAGGACUUCUUUGCAAAUGUAACUAAAUAGAGCCUUUAAAAUAUGAGCUGUUAAAACAUUAAUUUUCACAUUUUCAUACCCAUUUUAAAAUCAGGAGACUAAUAUCUUUAUUUCUUUGGUUUUCAGAAUUAGUUAUUAUGUAUUAGCUCCUAUGUAUUUAGCAGUACUCUAGAUAUUUUGAAACAGAGGCAUUUUUCCUCUUGUGCAAUGAAUGGGGAGGUGCCUUUGUCAGUAGUGAGACAGCUGUGAGUGCUCAAGUUAAGUGUUUGCAUGUGCAGAUAGAAGCAUAAAGAUAUAGGGUCUUAUUUUUUCCACACUGCUGAGCAUCCCUCGAAAAAGCGUGGAACCUGGUGUUUUUAUUGUAUGAACUGAACAUUUGUAAAAUUAGCCACCUUAUUAGAUAUCUAAUUAUUAAUUUCAGUGCUUAGUUUUAAUAAUUGGCACUUGUACUGUUUGAUAAUGGCUGUUUUCAACAUAGUAAUCUCUGGAGACACUGAAAGUAACCCAAAACAUAGGCAAUCAGGCAAAGUGGUAUAUCAGCACAAUCCUGCUGAGCCAUGUUAGAUAAAGCAAUUGAAAACAAAGAAAUACUUAUUAAAGCUGGGCAUGUAAUGGCCUUAAAUAUUUAUACAAAUAUUCAGCUGAGAAGGUCACUUUCUUGCUGUAAUGAUUCUGAAAAUUAUUGUGGUGAGUGUGCCAGGUAUUAAGUGUUACUAGCAUAUGAGUAUAUUUGCAUACCCAAUCACCAUACAUGAAAUGCAAUAAACUAGAAGUGCACGUUAGAUAUUAAAAAAACAAAUUAAAAUUCACAGCAAAUAAAUUUUAAAUUCUACCGGAGACUCCACAACCUCCCUGGACAACCUGCUCCAGUGCUCACAGGAAAGAAGUUCUUCUUCAUGUUUUAUUGUAACUUCCUGUGCAUCAGUUUUUACCCAUUGCCUCUUGUCCUAUUGCUUGGCACCACCAAGGAGAUCAUCUUGACACCCUUCCUUCAGAUGCUGACAGAGAGUGAUGAAAUCCCCUUUCAGUCAUCUCUUCUUGAGACUGAACAGGCCCAGCUCACUCAGCCUUUUGUCAAAAGAGAGAGCCUCCAGACCUUUAACCAACUUAGUAGCUCUCUAAUUCUCAGGAUCACAUUUCAUCUCCUUCAUUCUGCAUGGCUUUUUUUUUUUCUUUUUCUUUUUUUUUUUUUUAAUCCUAAGAGAGCUCCUGCAAGUUAUUUAUCCCUAAAUCACAGUUUAAGAAGAAACAUCUUAGAUUUCUCUUAUUCUGUACCUUUGGCCAUCAUCUUGCAACCCUUGUCUUUCAUGUUUCCUCUGUUACAGACCAUACUUAAUUUUUUUGAGUUACUGAACUUCUUCUAUGGUUUUUUUUCAGUAAAUGUGUAGGUCUGUCUUUUAUAACACAACAUGGGGCUGCAAUAAAAAUAUUGCUUAUCAGGCAAAAGGAUAUUCCACUAUCCCUUAUAGUAAGAAAAAGUUUCUAUUGGCUUGAAGGAAUGUAAUAGGUUAAAAGAUUCUGUAACUAUGUAUUUAACUUAAUUAAUCCUUUUUAAGGAUUUGUUUUAAUUCAGUCCUUUUUGCAUACGAAUUGGAAUUUGGGGUUCAGUGCCUUUUUCUGAUGAUGUGCUGGAGGAGGGAGUAGUAGGAAGAGAGAGAAUAUAGCUAUCAGACACCAGAAAGUCUUUAUUUGGCUUGUACAAAGUGAU